UAGAAAGUAAUAUAGUGGGAGUAUGAAGGGUUUUGAUCUCUUUAGUACAGGUUCGAAUCCUGUCUUUCUAA
RNAcentral lists this transfer RNA (71 nucleotides) under Dicaeum chrysorrheum. Its description in RNAcentral is "tRNA-Gln". It matches the Rfam family "tRNA". From Rfam's summary of the family: Transfer RNA (tRNA) molecules are approximately 80 nucleotides in length. Their secondary structure includes four short double-helical elements and three loops (D, anti-codon, and T loops). The record is from RNAcentral. Lineage: Eukaryota; Metazoa; Chordata; Aves; Passeriformes; Dicaeidae.